AGAGUUUGAUCAUGGCUCAGAACGAACGCUGGCGGCGCGCCUAACACAUGCAAGUCGAACGGGGUACUUAGCGUGGAUCACUUCGGUGUGAAGCACUUUGUUACCUAGUGGCGGACGGGUGAGUAACACAUAGGUAACCUGCCCUUAGGAUUGGGAUACUCCCGGGAAACCGGGCACAAUACCGAAUAUCAUUGCAAGAUUAUGUUUUGUAAUGAAAGCUGCGAGCAAUCGUGGCGCCUAAGGAUGGGCCUGUGGCCUAUCAGCUUGUUGGUGAGGUAAUGGCUCACCAAGGCUAAGACGGGUAGCCGGACUGAGAGGUCGAUCGGCCACACUGGAACUGAGACACGGUCCAGACUCCUACGGGAGGCAGCAGUGGGGAAUUUUGCGCAAUGGGCGAAAGCCUGACGCAGCGACGCCGCGUGGGGGAAGAAGGCCUUCGGGUUGUAAACUCCUUUAGUACGGGAAGAAGCCUUCGGGUGACGGUACCGUAAGAAUAAGCCACGGCUAACUCUGUGCCAGCAGCCGCGGUAAUACAGAGGUGGCAAGCGUUGUUCGGAUUUACUGGGCUUAAAGGGCGUGUAGGCGUCCCAACAAGUCAGAUGUGGAAGCCCUGGGCUUAACCCAGGAAGUGCAUUUGAAACUGUCGGGAUUGAGUCGUGCAAGGGAGGGCGGAAUUCCUGGUGUAGCGGUGAAAUGCGUAGAUAUCAGGAGGAAGGCCGGUGGUGAAGACGGCCCUCUAGGCAAUGACUGACGCUGAGGCGCGAAAGCGUGGGUAGCAAACAGGAUUAGAUACCCUGGUAGUCCACGCCCUAAACGGUGCGUACUAGGUGUGGGUGGCGAUAGUCAUCCGUGCCGAAGGGAAACCAUUAAGUACGCCGCCUGGGGAGUACGGCCGCAAGGUUGAAACUCAAAUGAAUUGACGGGGGCCCGCACAAGCGGUGGAGCAUGUGGUUUAAUUCGACGCUACGCGCAGAACCUUACCUAGGCUUGACAUGUUAGUGGUAGGAACCCGAAAGGGUGACGACCUAUUCUUCGGAAUAGGAGCUUUCACAGGUGCUGCAUGGCUGUCGUCAGCUCGUGCCGUGAGGUGUUGGGUUAAGUCCCGCAACGAGCGCAACCCUCAUCAUCUGUUGCCCUUAACGGGGCUCUCUGAUGAAACUGCCGGCGAAGAGCCGGAGGAAGGUGGGGAUGACGUCAAGUCCGCAUGGCCCUUAUGCCUAGGGCUACACACGUGCUACAAUGGCAGAUACAAAGGGUGGCCAAGCCGCGAGGUGGAGCCAAUCUCAUAAAGUCUGUCCAAGUUGGGAUCGGAGUCUGCAAUUUGACUCCGUGAACCUGGAAUCGCUAGUAAUCGUGGAUCAGCACGCCACGGUGAAUACGUUCCCGGGCCUUGUACACACCGCCCGUCACACCACGAAAGUCUGCUGUACCCGAAGUAGGUGAGCCAACCAGCAAUUGAGGCAGCUUCCUAAGGUAUGGCCGGUAAUUGGGGUGAAGUCGGAACAAGGUA
This 1510-nucleotide ribosomal RNA is filed under the name metagenome. RNAcentral describes it as "bacterial SSU rRNA". It matches the Rfam family "Bacterial small subunit ribosomal RNA". The record is from RNAcentral.